RNAcentral lists this ribosomal RNA (429 nucleotides) under Bacillota bacterium. RNAcentral's name for it is "Firmicutes bacterium partial 16S ribosomal RNA". It matches the Rfam family "Bacterial small subunit ribosomal RNA", at positions 355 to 776 of the family's 1533-position model. The record is from RNAcentral. Lineage: Bacteria; Bacillati; Bacillota.
UAGGGAAUCUUCCGCAAUGGACGCAAGUCUGACGGAGCAACGCCGCGUGAGUGAAGAAGGGUUUCGGCUCGUAAAACUCUGUUGUUAAGGAAGAAUGACAGGCAGAGUAACUGCUGCCUGUGUGACGGUACUUAACCAGAAAGCCACGGCUAACUACGUGCCAGCAGCCGCGGUAAUACGUAGGUGGCAAGCGUUAUCCGGAAUUAUUGGGCGUAAAGCGCGCGUAGGCGGUUUUUUAAGUCUGAUGUGAAAGCCCCCGGCUCAACCGGGGAGGGUCAUUGGAAACUGGGGGACUUGAGUGCAGAAGAGGGGAGUGGAAUUCCAUGUGUAGCGGUGAAAUGCGCAGAGAUAUGGAGGAACACCAGUGGCGAAGGCGGCUCUCUGGUCUGUAACUGACGCUGAUGUGCGAAAGCGUGGGGAUCAAACAGG